UCAACCCCCGUGCAGACUCGACAGCACCUGAACCCACCUGGAGGGAAGACCAGCGACAUUUUUGGGUCUCCGGUCACUGCCACUUCACGCUUGGCACACCCAAACAAACCCAAGGAUCAUGUUUUCUUAUGUGAAGGAGAAGAACCAAAAUCGGAUCUUAAAGCUGCAAGGAGCAUCCCGGCUGGAGCAGAGCCAGGUGAGAAAGGCAGCGCCAGAAAAGCAGGCCCCGCCAAGGAGCAGGAGCCCAUGCCCACAGUCGACAGCCAUGAGCCCCGGCUGGGGCCGCGGCCUCGCUCUCACAACAAGGUCCUGAACCCACCGGGAGGCAAAUCCAGCAUCUCCUUCUACUAAGAGAAGCCACUGCUCCACCCGGAGCCAGACCAGAAACUCAAGAGAUAGGGUAGCCAUGUUUUCAUUUCCUUUUGCCCAAAUGAGCGGGGUGGGAAGAGGGUUAGUCUUAUGUGAGCCUGGCUGCUCAGCGUCUCCUGGCCGUCAUGACAGCUGCUUGGAGACCCGUGCCUUCCAGAUGGCUGGGAGAUGCCUCUGUGGGGAUGAAAUGGGGCACCCCUGGCCAUCACUCAUGUGUAGUCCAGGUUUGAGAGGAACUGGAAGGGGGGUGAGGGUGGGGAGGUGGGGCAGGGCAUGGUCCUUGGAUCAACAGCCCGCCAGCUGAUUGGAUGUCUAGGAAUGACUGAAAGAAACCAAAACAGCCUGUCCACUGCUGCUGUGGGAUGGAGGAGGCGUAAGCAGAAACACUAACAGUAUAUUGACCUCUUAGCAGAACCGCUUCCAUUCUGGAGAUCACGGCUGCUAAAUCCAGCAUCCCCACUUCAUUUUAC
RNAcentral lists this long non-coding RNA (839 nucleotides) under Homo sapiens (human). Its description in RNAcentral is "HSALNT0226464". The record is from RNAcentral. Lineage: Eukaryota; Metazoa; Chordata; Mammalia; Primates; Hominidae.